This 97-nucleotide ribosomal RNA is filed under the name Prolemur simus (greater bamboo lemur). Lineage: Eukaryota; Metazoa; Chordata; Mammalia; Primates; Lemuridae. The record is from RNAcentral.
UCUGGCCUGCCCUGAACGCGCCCAAUCUCGCCUUAUCUCGGAAGCUAAGCAGGGUCGGGCCUGGUUAGUACUUGGAUGGGAGAGGUCUGGUCUGGAA